CUACGGGACGCACCAGUAGGGAAUAUUGGACAAUGGGCGAAAGCCUGAUCCAGCAACGCCGCGUGCACGAUGACGGCCUUCGGGUUGUAAAGUGCUUUUAGAGGAGAUGAGAAAGGACAGUAUCCUCUGAAUAAGCCUCGGCGAACUACGUGCCAGCAGCCGCGGUAAAACGUAGGAGGCAAGCGUUAUCCGGAUUUAUUGGGCGUAAAGCGCGUGCAGGCGGUUUGACAAGUUGGAUGUGAAAGCUCCCGGCUUAACUGGGAGAGGUCGUUCAAAACUGUCAGACUAGAGAAUGGGAGAGGGAGGUGGAAUUCCGGGUGUAGUGGUGAAAUGCGUAGAUAUCCGGAGGAACACCAGUGGCGAAAGCGGCCUCCUAGACCAUUUCUGACGCUAAGACGCGAAAGCUAGGGUAGCAAACGGGAUUAGAUACCCCCGUAGUC
RNAcentral lists this ribosomal RNA (440 nucleotides) under uncultured bacterium. RNAcentral's name for it is "partial 16S ribosomal RNA". It matches the Rfam family "Bacterial small subunit ribosomal RNA", at positions 339 to 795 of the family's 1533-position model. The record is from RNAcentral.